GACGAACGCUGGCGGCGUGCUUAAUACAUGCAAGUCGAACGGAAAGGCCCUGCCUUGGUUGGGUGCUUGAGUUGCGAACGGGUGAGUAACACGUGGGUAACCUGCCCUGUACUGUGGGAUAACUUUAGGAAACUGGGGCUAAUACCGCAUAGGAGCUCCUGCUGCAUGGUGUUGGUUGGAAAGUUUCGGCGGUUGGGGUUGGACUUGCGGCUUAUCAGCUUGUGGGUGAGGUAGUGGAUUACCAUGGCUUUGACGGGGAGCCGGCCUGGGAGGGUGACAGGCCACAUAGGGACUGAGGUACGGGCCGGACUGCUACGGGAGGCAGCGGUGGGAAAUAGUGCGCACUGGGCCGCAGCAUGAUGCAGCAACGCCGCGUGCGGGAUGACGGCCUUCGGGUUGUAACCAGCUUUCGCCUGUGAAGAAGAGUGAGUGACGGUAAUGGGUCAAGAAGCAACGGCUAACUACGUG
This 468-nucleotide ribosomal RNA is filed under the name uncultured bacterium. RNAcentral's name for it is "partial 16S ribosomal RNA". It matches the Rfam family "Bacterial small subunit ribosomal RNA", at positions 28 to 507 of the family's 1533-position model. The record is from RNAcentral.